Non-coding RNA from Lactuca sativa (garden lettuce), 3505 nucleotides. Lineage: Eukaryota; Viridiplantae; Streptophyta; Magnoliopsida; Asterales; Asteraceae. The record is from RefSeq and is a predicted model, not a curated record.
ACAAGACCUGUUUAUAGUUAAACAUGUGUACCAAAUAAUUAGGAAUUCAGAUGUAUUUUGCUGUAUAUAUACCUCUGUUGCAAUCGAGGAAUUCAGAUUCAAUUUACCUCUAUAAUACUUCAACUCUUCAUGGUAUCAGAGCACAGACAAAAAAAAAAAAUCUUCUCCUUGGUGCUCCUUCUCCAUGGCGACAAAUCAAAAUAUUUUAGGGCUUGCUACCAAUUCAUCUUUUCAAAUCCCCACAAUCAGCAUAAAGCUUGAAACCUCCAACUAUUGUCUAUGUCGUACCACCAUUGUAUCUGCCCUAGAAACCUUUGAUCUUGAAUCAUUUGUUCUUGAUCCCAAACCACCGACUGAAACUCUUACGAUUGAGCGUGCAGAUGCAGCACCCACCAUUGAAGCUAACCCAGAGUACCAAUUGUGGAAGAAAUGUGAUCGUUAUGUACUUCUAUGGCAGAAAUCCACCCUCUAUGAACGUGCCCCGACGAUUAUUGCUCGUUAAACCUCUUCCCAUCUUCCUUGGACUACUCUCAACAAAACUUUCGAAGCCCAAACCAAUGCCACACGUAUAGCUAUGAAGACCCAACUUCAGAAUCUGUCAAAAGGCUCACUACCCAUGAUUGAAUAUCUUGAAAAGAAACGUGUUAUUGUCGAAUCCUUGGUCAAGAACCUUAAUCAGAUUUCUAUAGAAGACCUUAUUGGAUAAAUCCUCAACGGGCUCGAUUCCUCAUAUGGCCCAUUCACUGCGGCGUUUAUGAUGAAAGAUUCUAAUCCUUUAGCUGAUGACCUAAUGGGAUUACUACUUCUAGAAGAAGCAAGACUCGAACAGGACCAUCUUCUCCAAACAAUUGCAAUUUCUUCUUCAUUAAAUACCUCCGCCCCCUUAGCUCUCAAUGUGAAUCGACAUCAGCCCAGGUCAUGAAGCGAUAGACUAUUAGCAAAGGUCCAAUUAGAUUGACUAUCCAUCUCAUUGGCUGAAUCCAAGAACUUGAUAGGCUCCUCAAGUUCAUAUGGCUCAGUGUCACAGUCCAUCCAUAGUUGCUGAUCCGUCAUGGUAUUUCGACUCUGGUGCAACAAAUCAUGUGGAUCCCGAUCUUCAGAAAAUGAAUGUUGCAGAGGAACACCAUGGCACAGACAAACUUCAAGUUUGGAAUGUCAUUGCAGGGCCAAAAACUCCUAAACAGGGACGUCAAUGAUGGCCUUUAUUGUAUUCCUUCUUCAAUCAAUAAAGCACCAAAUAAAUUCAGCCCCUACCAUGGCUUUCACGAGCAUUCACACUUAUCUCCAUGGCUGACACAAACGUUUAGGUCAUCCAUAUGAUCCUCUCCUUAGAAGAUUACUUUCCUCCUUCAAGCUACCAAUAUCAUCCAAUAACUUUCCCAAUGUUUGCAACUCAUGUCAACUGGGGAAGACUCAUCGACUUUAUUUACAUACUUCUCAUGUAGCUUCUAGUAAAGCUCUUGAUUUAAUUUAUUCAAAUGUUUGGGGCCUUUCCCCUUUCUUUUCUAUGAAUGGAAACACUCCUUCAUCUUCUCAAGUAACUUCCCUCCUUCUACAACAAGCUGCUACUUUACCUAUAACAACACUACAUUCCUAACUUCACACACCCACACCUACACAAAAUAUAAGCAACACCCAUCCUCCUCGUCUUCUCUCGCUCCUAGUCCUCAUUAUCAAAACUCUACCAUUAACUCUCCUGCUCGCCAACAACGAUCUACUUCUUCUCAUUAUAGACAUGCUGUGAACAAUCACCACCACAUGGUAACUCGAGGCCUCACUAAUUCUCUUAAGCCAAAAGUCUUUUCAUCUUCUUUAUCCUCAACUCUCACCAUUGAACCCUCGACCUUUAAACAAGUUGUUAAAUCUCCUUGUUGGUAAGAGGCAAUGAAAAAUGAAUUUGAUGCUCUUAUGAGGAAUAGAACCGGGUCACUGGUUCCAUGUUCUACUAAUUUGAAUGUUGUAGGUUGCAAAUGGAUUUAUUGGGUCAAAAGAAAGUCAGAUGACUCUAUUGAGCGAUACAAAGCUUGUUUGGUUACGCAGGGAUAUAGUAAAAAAGAGGGUAUCAAUUACUUUGAUACAUUCAGUCCCGUCAUCAAACCCACAACGAUUUGAUUGAUGUUAUAUAUUGCAAUCUCAAAUAUCAAUGGUGUAUUCGCCAACUAGACAUCAAUAACACAUUUCUUAAUUGUGAUUUACUAGAAGAUGUCUACAUGAGGCAACCAAGAGGCUUUGAAGACUCCACCUAUUCGUCUCAUUUUUUCGCUUGAAUAAGGCGAUUUAUGGCCUUAAACAAGCACCACAAGCCUAGUUCAAUAAGAUCUAAACUUAUCUUAUCCAACAAGGGUUUCAUGAUUGUCAAUCAGAUACACCAUUAUUUGUUCACACAUAAAUCCUAGGAACCCACCAAUACAACUUAAACAAAAAUAAAAUGUAAGGAUCAAAACUCAAGAGGUAACAUAAAGAACUAGAACCAUUAAUUUAACAAUUAACUCCAAAUAGUCACUGAAAUCCGUUGUUUAUCACCAUUUCAAAAUUAGGUGAACAUAAAGAACUAGAACCAUUAAUUUAACACUUCUAUCUCCAAUAAUCUCAAAUGUAAGGAUUUCAAUGGACAAUCCUUAUUUUUCAAUCCUAAACAAAUAGAUGGAUUCAAAGAAUAUAUUGGAUGAUCAUUUGAUGGAAACUGGAAAAGAAAAUCCAACAAUUUCGAUAUCACAAUCUCAAAAUCAAAUUCUCACUCAAUCUCCAAGGGUUUCCUCUUUACUCCUCUCAAGAACACAUGAGAAAUGAAGACUUUGGCAAACUUUGGCAUAAUGUAUGGAUUUAAGGUAUUUUAUUUCAUUUUCCCAUUAAGGUAUAAUAAGCCCAAUCCAUGUUUCUACUAAAAAUCUUCUUCUUGAGUUGACAUUGAUCAGAAAGCCGAGCAUGUGUUGCUAGUUUUCCUCAUGAGCAUUUCUUUCGCUUCAUUGAUUUUCGAAGCAAGAUAGUGGUCGCCGCCAGCGUUUAGGUGGUUUGCCACCAUCACCCUUCUAUGUGCUUCCCUUACCUAAUCAACCUCAAUACUUUGCCUACACAUUUAAACCGUUAAAAACACAUAACUCAUAAUACAAAAAGACAUGGAGAUGAAUGCUAGAUUUGGUAGUGAUAUAAAUAAUGUACCUUACUCCAAGAAUCAGAGCAGCUUCUCUUCUUGUCAUUUGAGGUUGGAAUCCACCUUGAUAAAACUUUCUAAAUGCAACAGGCGAAGCUGGUCUAGCCUUGAAAGCCUGCCAUACUUGGAUGCCAUAUCUUCCAGCAUAAGCAGUAGCUGCAAUUACAAGUCCUGUCAUCAAUGGAGUCGCCUGGUGGAGGAAGAUUUAGUGUUACUAUCAGAUUCCUCAAGAUCAAUGAUUUGUUGAGUUUAGGAUAGUAGAUAUCACAAUUGUCUAUGGCCUUUUAUACGGUAAAAUUUAAGAGUAUACCCAUCAAUUAAAUGCAAGAAAAUGAAAAUCAUCAAUCUGAUCAA